GCAAGUCGAACGCAGUAGCAAUACUGAGUGGCAGACGGGUGAGUAACAUGUGGGAAUCUGCCUUGUGGUUCAGGACAACAUUGGGAAACCGAUGCUAAUACUGGAUAAGCCCUUACGGGGAAAGUUUUAAUGCCAUAAGAUGAGCCCGCAUUUGAUUAGUUAGUUGGUGAGGUAAUGGCUCACCAAGACAAUGAUCAAUAGCUGAUCUGAGAGGAUGAUCAGCCACACUGGGACUGAGACACGGCCCAGACUCCUACGGGAGGCAGCAGUGGGGAAUCUUGCACAAUGGAGGAAACUCUGAUGCAGCGACGCCGCGUGAGUGAAGAAGGCCUUUGGGUUGUAAAGCUCUUUUGUAGGGGAAGAUAAUGACUGUACCCUAAGAAUAAGGUCCGGCUAACUUCGUGCUAGCAGUCGCGGUAAUACGAAGGGACCUAGCGUAGUUCGGAAUUACUGGGCGUAAAGCGCGCGUAGGCCGUUGAGUUAGUUAAUUGUGAAAUCCCAAAGCUUAACUUUGGAACUGCAAUUAAAACUGCUCGACUAGAGUUUGAUAGAGGAAAGCGGAAUACAUAGUGUAGAGGUGAAAUUCGUAGAUAUUAUGUAGAACACCAGUUGCGAAGGCGGCUUUCUGGAUCAACACUGACGCUGAGGCGCGAAAGUAUGGGUAGCAAAGAGGAUUAGAUACCCUCGUAGUCCAUACCAUAAACGAUGAUUGCUAGAUGUUGGAAAUUUAUUUUCAGUAUCGCAGCUAACGCAUUAAGCAAUCCGCCUGGGGAGUACGACCGCAAGGUUAAAACUCAAAUGAAUUGACGGGGACCCGCACAAGCGGUGGAGCAUGUGGUUUAAUUCGAAGAUACGCGCAGAACCUUACCAACCCUUGACAUGUCUGUCGCGAGUUUAGGAAACUAGACUUUUCGGUUCGGCCGGACAGAACACAGGUGCUGCAUGGCUGUCGUCAGCUCGUGUCGUGAGAUGUUGGGUUGAG
RNAcentral lists this ribosomal RNA (982 nucleotides) under uncultured bacterium. RNAcentral's name for it is "bacterial SSU rRNA". It matches the Rfam family "Bacterial small subunit ribosomal RNA", at positions 57 to 1084 of the family's 1533-position model. The record is from RNAcentral.